GACGAACGCUGGCGGCGUGCUUAACACAUGCAAGUCGAACGGAAAGGCCCUGCUUUUGUGGGGUGCUCGAGUGGCGAACGGGUGAGUAACACGUGAGUAACCUGCCCUUGACUUUGGUAUAACUUCAGGAAACUGGGGCUAAUACCGGAUAGGAGCUCCUGCUGCAUGGUGGGGGUUGGAAAGUUUCGGCGGUUGGGGAUGGACUCGCGGCUUAUCAGCUUGUUGGUGGGGUAGUGGCUUACCAAGGCUUUGACGGGUAGCCGGCCUGAGAGGGUGACCGGCCACAUUGGGACUGAGAUACGGCCCAGACUCAUACGGGAGGCAGCAGUGGGGAAUAUUGCACAAUGGGCGGAAGCCUGAUGCAGCAACGCCGCGUGCGGGAUGACGGCCUUCGGGUUGUAAACCGCUUUCGCCUGUGACGAAGCGUGAGUGACGGUAAUGGGUAAAGAAGCACCGGCUAACUACGUG
This 468-nucleotide ribosomal RNA is filed under the name uncultured bacterium. RNAcentral's name for it is "partial 16S ribosomal RNA". It matches the Rfam family "Bacterial small subunit ribosomal RNA", at positions 28 to 507 of the family's 1533-position model. The record is from RNAcentral.